Cavia aperea (Brazilian guinea pig) is the source of this 101-nucleotide unclassified non-coding RNA. Its record names the gene Vault. It matches the Rfam family "Vault RNA". Rfam says of the family: This family of RNAs are found as part of the enigmatic vault ribonucleoprotein complex. The record is from Ensembl. Lineage: Eukaryota; Metazoa; Chordata; Mammalia; Rodentia; Caviidae.
AGGCUGGCUUUAGCCUAGCAGUUACUUCGAGUCUGGCUUUCCAACCGCCGGGGCCGAUUGGUCCAGUGGUUCGACACCUACCGGUGCUCUCCAGUCCUUAA